CCUUCUGUGCUCGGGGACUGUUAGACACUCUGGGAGUGCCCGCAUGAACAGAGCAUACAGUCACAAUGGUAUAAGGAACACAGAAGCAUAAGAAAACUUGCACCGCAACCAGACCAGCGUAAGAAUGUCUACCAUCUGCAGGUUAUACCAUAGCUUGCCAGGUUUAACAUCUAGGCUCCAAAACACUCAUUGGUUUUCUGCUAUCCAGUGAUGUUGAGCAGAUCUUGAUGUCAUUUGUGGUCUGGCCAUGCUGCAUUGAAAUUGUGAAAAUACUAUGCCCAUGUGUGAACUUGAUGCUUUAAGUGGCCAUAAUAUUUUAAGUCAUCUAUUGAAACAGGCUGAAUCGUGAAGGAGGAACGGGUACUGAAGCAACAUGGCAGAAACCGGAGGAAUCAGAACAUAGACAAUUUCACUAGAACAGGUAUAUGCAAAUAUCUUCCUGUAUGUAUGUGCACUGCCCGUAUGUCUAGUGUCCUCAGAAGCCAGCAGAAGGUAUCAGAUCUCCUGAAUCCAGAGUCACACAUUAUUGUAAAACACUGACCAAAACCAACUUGCGCUAGAGAGGGUUGAUUUCAUCUUACACUUUACAGUCUGGCAUGAAGGAGAGCCAAAGCAUGAACACAAGUACAGAGACGGAACUUAUGCACAUGGAUGAACACCACUCACGGGCUCGCCUCUUCCAGUUUCUGUAGCUCAGAAAUAAGGACUUGCCUAACAUAUGUGAAGAACUGGGUUUGAUCUAUAACAACCAAAGAAAGGAUGAGCUUUAGUGUGAAUUUCAGCUGAUUUUGCCAGUGGAGAUCACAAAUACUAUGGAAUAAAAACAAACCCCCAAAUCAAUUAAGCUAUAGAUGUAAUUGCAUAGCCAUGAGUCACAGAUUUCUCCUUGGUCUUAUCCACUAAUGAAAUGUUUUCUAACAGCUAAAAGAAUCAAUGUGAUUUGUAGUUGUAGCUUUCAAAUUGUGUGAAUUCAAUUUUUAAAAAGUUUUAAAGAAAAUACACUAUCAAGCACAGUAAACAGAAAGUUAGUCUGUAUGAGGACUUUUUUGAGGAGGUUGGGCCAUGUCCACUGGCUUCUUUCCUAUAUAGGUCUCAGCAAAACUAAAAAUUGGAAGAUACUUGGCAUUCGUUCUCUUCUCUGUUGCCAUUUUCUAUGUUUUAUAUUUGUUCUCUUUUUAUUUAAAUUUUAUACUUUGUGAUGCUAGGGAUCAAUCAAGCCACAGAUUUGUAGGCAAUUGUUCCACCUCUGGGCUAACUCCCCAGUCCUUUUUGCCUAUAAUUUAAGAGCAAUUAUACUACAAAAAAAAUGCUGCCCACCCUCUGUGUACUUGCUUCAAUAGUGUCAUACACUCUUUGAAUGUUAUUGACUUUAGGGUACUAAUAUUCAGUCAUCCUUACAGUCAGAGUAUAAGUGUGUCAAUAAGCAAGGAACAUGUUCCUUGUACUCAUGAGCAGUCAGUCUCCCAAACUCACACUGGACAUGUAACUGUUUUCAUCAGGAACAUUAAGCUUAAUACUGAUACAUGCUAUGAUCUAUGCUAUGUUUAAACCAAUUUAAAGUUCAUAUUUCCUCAUACAUAUUGUUUGUAAUUGACCUCAGAGCAUUUCCCAGCCUGCAAAGACUCUUAUUUGUAACCACCAGAGCAGUCAAGGCUAUAAUCACUC
Molecule: long non-coding RNA, 1665 nt
Organism: Mesocricetus auratus (golden hamster)
Lineage: Eukaryota; Metazoa; Chordata; Mammalia; Rodentia; Cricetidae
Exons: 5
Source: RefSeq, a predicted model, not a curated record